This 413-nucleotide ribosomal RNA is filed under the name bacterium enrichment culture clone ALO1_GLFRUDD03FXWJK. RNAcentral describes it as "bacterial SSU rRNA". It matches the Rfam family "Bacterial small subunit ribosomal RNA", at positions 9 to 424 of the family's 1533-position model. The record is from RNAcentral.
GAGUUUGAUCUUGGCUCAGAUUGAACGCUGGCGGCAUGCCUUACACAUGCAAGUCGAACGGCAGCACGGGAGCUUGCUCCUGGUGGCGAGUGGCGAACGGGUGAGUAAUGCAUCGGAACGUAUCCUGGAGUGGGGGAUAACGUAGCGAAAGUUACGCUAAUACCGCAUAUUCUGUGAGCAGGAAAGCGGGGGACCUUCGGGCCUCGCGCUCUUGGAGCGGCCGAUGUCGGAUUAGCUAGUUGGUGAGGUAAAGGCUCACCAAGGCGACGAUCCGUAGCAGGUCUGAGAGGAUGAUCUGCCACACUGGAACUGAGACACGGUCCAGACUCCUACGGGAGGCAGCAGUGGGGAAUUUUGGACAAUGAGGGCAACCCUGAUCCAGCCAUGCCGCGUGAGUGAAGAAGGCCUCGGUU